UUGGCAUUGAGGGUAAGGCUCUAUCUCUGGAGGUGGCUAUAUGCCUGAGGCCUUCUGAAGGUCUUCACUCCCUUAUGAAUGCCCUUAUGCCUGAGCAGAGAAUGAUGCUUCUGUCUUUGCACGAAUUUCUCUCCGCUGUUCUCAAAGCAGACAAACAACGGGCCGGAUCCAGAGGCGAUGUAAAACGGCUGUCACUGUGGGUGUCGAUGGAAACCCUGCUUUGGGUUUCCUGUAACAGCUCUAUAAAGGAGCCAGGUCUGCGAGCACCAUCUAGUGGCUCUGCUCACACAGACAUCACCGCACGGCACAACGCCCUGCUGGGUUACAAAUAAGCUGCAGCUACAGCAAAGAUGGAGCUUCAUCCCACCUAGAGCUCUGCUGUAUGUCUUGCCCAGAUGGCUUCUCAAGAGCAGAACUUGUCACAAACUCUGUUAUAGCUGAGCAUCAUGAAUCUUGACUCCAGGCUGAGCACAGAUAUGGUAAGUGAUGAUGGGGAAGGAAUGAUUUCAGCCCUGCACAGAUGAGCAGCAUUUUGACUAAUUUAUGGACCAGGAACAAAGAAAGAGGUGAACAUUUAGUUUUCUUAAUUUUAAAAUUCCUCUGGAUGGCAGGUAAACUCGAUGUUAAUGCUAUGCACAGUUUUGACAAAAGAGCAGCUGGGUUCAUGCUUCUACCCAACUCUUCCUGAUGAAGAACCGUGUUACAGCAGCAUGAGCUCACAGUUCAUCACCAAGAGCCAUGACCCCACUGUCCCUGGCUGCAGGCAGGUGCCAGGACAAGGCAGUGAUCUGGGGCCUGCUUGGUAAGCAUUAAAAAAUAUCCC
Long non-coding RNA from Lagopus muta (rock ptarmigan), 823 nucleotides. RefSeq lists it as uncharacterized. The record is from RefSeq and is a predicted model, not a curated record. NCBI's taxonomy places the organism in Eukaryota, Metazoa, Chordata, Aves, Galliformes, Phasianidae. The transcript is spliced from 3 exons.